CCCCUGUGAGGGGAGUGAAAUAGAACCUGAAACCAUGUGCCUACAAGGUGUAAGAGCGGCUUUCGAGCUGUGAUUGCGUGCCUUUUGCUUAAUGAGUCUGCGAGUCAGUAUAUGUAGCGAGCUUAACUCCUUCCGGGAGGCAGGCGUAGGGAAACCAAGUCCGAAUAGGGCGUCAAUGAGUUGCAUGUGCUGGACCCGAAACGGAGGUGACCUACCCAUGGCCAGGUUGAAGCUACAGUAAAAUGUAGUGGAGGACCGAACCGGUGAAUGUUGAAAAAUUCUCGGAUGAGCUGUGGGUCGGAGUGAAAGGCUAAUCAAACCCCGUGAUAGCUGGUUCUCCUCGAAAUGCAUUUAGGUGCAGCGUUAUGUGUUGAUGAGUGGGGGUAGAGCACUGAAAGGGCUAGGGGACAUACCCGUCUACCGACCCCUAUCAAACUCCGAAUACCAUUCAAUAGAACAUAGCAGUGCGACAGUGGGGGAUAAGCUUCAUUGUCGAAAGGGAAACAGCCCAGAUCAGCAGCUAAGGUGCCAAAAUUAUACUAAGUGGAAAGGAGGUGGGAUUUCAUAGACAGUGAGGAUGUUGGCUUAGAAGCAGCCACCAUUUAAAAAGUGCGUAAUAGCUUACUCAUCGAGAGAUCCUGCGCCGAAAAUGAUUGGCGAUAAGUAUAAUACCGAAGCUCUGGAUGUCACUAGCCCCCCGUGGUUAGUGGCGUGGUAGAGGAGCAUUGUAGCAGCAGUGAAGGAGGAUGGUGACUGAAUCUGGAGCGGCUACAAGAGAGUAUGCAGACAUGAGUAACGAUAAGGACGGUGAGAUCCCGUUCCGCCGUAAACCCGAGGUUUCCUGGGCAAUGUUAGUCAUCCCAGGGUUAGUCGGGACCUAAGUCGAGGCCGAAGGGCGUAGACGAUGGAAAGCAGGUUAAUAUUCCUGCACGUGCAAAGUGAAGGGGACGCAUAAUGAAAAGUAACUAGGUUAUUGAAUUCUGAGAUGAUACUACGGUUGAUUCGUAUUACUGGACAAAGUGCCAAGAAAAGCCAACACGAAUAAACGCACCCCGUACCGCAAACCGACACAGGUGGGUGGGUAGAGUAUACCAAGGCGCAAGAGUGAAACCUGGUCAAGGAACUCGGCAAAAUAGCUCCGUAACUUCGGGAUAAGGAGUGCCCCCGUCAGCAAUGGCUGGGGGCCGCAGUGAAAUGGCCCAACCGACUGUUUAGCAAAAACACAGCAUUGUGCUAAGAUGAAAAUCGACGUAUACGAUGUGACACGUGACCAAUGCCAAAAGAUUACGGUAAGAUGUUAGCCCAUAUUUAUAUGUGGCGAAGCUUCGAGCCCAAGUCCUGGUGAAUGUCGGCCGUAACUAUAACGGUCCUAAGGUAGCGAAAUUCCUUGUCGGGUAAGUUCCGACCUGCACGAAUCGUGCAACGAGUUGGGCGCUGUCUCGACCAGGAGCUCAGUGAAAUUGUAACGCCGGUGAAGAUGCCGGCUACCCGCAGAAGGACGGAAAGACCCUAUAGACCUUAACUGUAAGCUGCUGUCCCUUAUACAAAUCUU
This 1552-nucleotide ribosomal RNA is filed under the name marine metagenome. RNAcentral describes it as "bacterial LSU rRNA". It matches the Rfam family "Bacterial large subunit ribosomal RNA", at positions 524 to 2133 of the family's 2925-position model. The record is from RNAcentral.